GGCGGAACUGGUAGACGCGCUAGGUUCAGGUCCUAGUGGCUGAAAGGCCGUGGGGGUUCGACUCCCUCC
This 69-nucleotide transfer RNA is filed under the name Azospirillum sp. Sh1. RNAcentral's name for it is "tRNA-Leu". Lineage: Bacteria; Pseudomonadati; Pseudomonadota; Alphaproteobacteria; Rhodospirillales; Azospirillaceae. The record is from RNAcentral.